UACGUAGGGUGCGAGCGUUGUCCGGAAUUAUUGGGCGUAAAGAGCUCGUAGGCGGUGUGUCACGUCGGCCGUGAAAACCUGCAGCUUAACUGUGGGCGUGCGGUCGAUACGGGCAUCACUGGAGUUCGGCAGGGGAGACUGGAAUUCCCGGUGUAGCGGUGAAAUGCGCAGAUAUCGGGAAGAACACCCGUGGCGAAGGCGGCUCUCUGGGACGGUACUGACGCUGAGACGCGAAAGCGUGGGGAGCGAACAGG
RNAcentral lists this ribosomal RNA (254 nucleotides) under uncultured bacterium. RNAcentral describes it as "partial 16S ribosomal RNA". It matches the Rfam family "Bacterial small subunit ribosomal RNA", at positions 524 to 776 of the family's 1533-position model. The record is from RNAcentral.